RNAcentral lists this transfer RNA (77 nucleotides) under Rickettsiales bacterium. Its description in RNAcentral is "tRNA-Val". It matches the Rfam family "tRNA". From Rfam's summary of the family: Transfer RNA (tRNA) molecules are approximately 80 nucleotides in length. Their secondary structure includes four short double-helical elements and three loops (D, anti-codon, and T loops). Lineage: Bacteria; Pseudomonadati; Pseudomonadota; Alphaproteobacteria; Rickettsiales. The record is from RNAcentral.
GGGCGAUUAGCUCAGCUGGUCAGAGCAUCUGCCUUACAAGCAGGUGGUCAUAAGUUCGAAUCUUAUAUCGCCCACCA